Long non-coding RNA from Sarcophilus harrisii (Tasmanian devil), 430 nucleotides. RefSeq lists it as uncharacterized. The record is from RefSeq and is a predicted model, not a curated record. NCBI's taxonomy places the organism in Eukaryota, Metazoa, Chordata, Mammalia, Dasyuromorphia, Dasyuridae. The transcript has 4 exons.
UUUGACUUCAAAGACUGGAAAAAGCUUGAUAGCCAUUGACUAAAAUGCUAACUGAAGAGAACUUCAGUUCUCUUUGUGGGCAAAGAAGAUACGAAACAUAUCCCCUCUGGUACAGGGAGGACUGAAGGUCCUUGAGGGAAGGAACUAUUUCAUUCUGUCUUUGAAUCAGUAGCAUUUAGCAGAGCAGCUGGCAUAUAACAGCUAUAUGUAGAUCCCAGAGAUACAAAGACAAAAAUGAAACAGCCACUGGAAACAAGAUGCUUGUAAGCAAGGAUACCCAUUAAAACAAGAACAAAGGUCUUCUCAUUGUCUUCUGGCCCAGCAUGGAGAUGCUGGUAAUAAUGUAGACCAGAGGAUGCCGAGAAAGAUUGUUUUCCUAGAAAUCUACCAGAAUAUGGAAUUGUUAUUAGAUUUUUAUUAUUUUUCAGGU